Molecule: transfer RNA, 82 nt
Filed under: Streptomyces phage Annadreamy
Lineage: Duplodnaviria; Heunggongvirae; Uroviricota; Caudoviricetes; Stanwilliamsviridae
Also listed under: 2 other names
Description: tRNA-Tyr
Rfam family: tRNA
About the family: Transfer RNA (tRNA) molecules are approximately 80 nucleotides in length. Their secondary structure includes four short double-helical elements and three loops (D, anti-codon, and T loops).
Source: RNAcentral
GUACGGGUUGAGCAGGUGGUGUGCUCCGCUGACUGUAAAUCAGCCGCUUCGGCAUUGGGGGUUCGAUUCCCUUCCCGUGCAC